This 29-nucleotide non-coding RNA is filed under the name Rattus norvegicus (Norway rat). The record is from RNAcentral. Lineage: Eukaryota; Metazoa; Chordata; Mammalia; Rodentia; Muridae.
GCAAGGACAUUGUAAUUGCAAGAUCCUUU